GCAGUCGCCACGGUAAUACGAAGGGUGCAAGCGUUAAUCGGAAUUACUGGGCGUAAAGCGUGCGUAGGCGGUGAGUUAAGUCUGCUGUGAAAUCCCCGGGCUCAACCUGGGAAUGGCAGUGGAUACUGGCUCGCUAGAGUGUGUCAGAGGAUGGUGGAAUUCCCGGUGUAGCGGUGAAAUGCGUAGAGAUCGGGAGGAACAUCAGUGGCGAAGGCGGCCAUCUGGGACAACACUGACGCUGAGGCACGAAAGCGUGGGGAGCAAACAGGAUUAGAUACCCCAGUAGUCCCUGUCUCUUAUAC
RNAcentral lists this ribosomal RNA (302 nucleotides) under uncultured bacterium. RNAcentral describes it as "partial 16S ribosomal RNA". It matches the Rfam family "Bacterial small subunit ribosomal RNA", at positions 508 to 807 of the family's 1533-position model. The record is from RNAcentral.